This 2161-nucleotide ribosomal RNA is filed under the name Enterobacter cloacae. Its description in RNAcentral is "bacterial LSU rRNA". It matches the Rfam family "Bacterial large subunit ribosomal RNA", at positions 1 to 2187 of the family's 2925-position model. Lineage: Bacteria; Pseudomonadati; Pseudomonadota; Gammaproteobacteria; Enterobacterales; Enterobacteriaceae. The record is from RNAcentral.
UUAAGCGACUAAGCGUACACGGUGGAUGCCCUGGCAGUCAGAGGCGAUGAAGGACGUGCUAAUCUGCGAAAAGCGCCGGCGAGGUGAUAUGAACCCUUGACCCGGCGAUGUCCGAAUGGGGAAACCCAGUGCAAUCCGUUGCACUAUCGUUAACUGAAUACAUAGGUUAACGAGGCGAACCGGGGGAACUGAAACAUCUAAGUACCCCGAGGAAAAGAAAUCAACCGAGAUUCCCCCAGUAGCGGCGAGCGAACGGGGAGCAGCCCGGAGUCUGAAUCAGCUUGUGUGUUAGUGGAACGGUCUGGAAAGUCCGACGGUACAGGGUGAUAGUCCCGUACACGAAAAUGCACAUGCUGUGAACUCGAAGAGUAGGGCGGGACACGUGGUAUCCUGUCUGAAUAUGGGGGGACCAUCCUCCAAGGCUAAAUACUCCUGACUGACCGAUAGUGAACCAGUACCGUGAGGGAAAGGCGAAAAGAACCCCGGCGAGGGGAGUGAAAAAGAACCUGAAACCGUGUACGUACAAGCAGUGGGAGCCUCUUUAUGGGGUGACUGCGUACCUUUUGUAUAAUGGGUCAGCGACUUAUAUUCUGUAGCAAGGUUAACCGUAUAGGGGAGCCGAAGGGAAACCGAGUCUUAACUGGGCGUUAAGUUGCAGGGUAUAGACCCGAAACCCGGUGAUCUAGCCAUGGGCAGGUUGAAGGUUGGGUAACACUAACUGGAGGACCGAACCGACUAAUGUUGAAAAAUUAGCGGAUGACCUGUGGCUGGGGGUGAAAGGCCAAUCAAACCGGGAGAUAGCUGGUUCUCCCCGAAAGCUAUUUAGGUAGCGCCUCGUGAACUCAUCUUCGGGGGUAGAGCACUGUUUCGGCUAGGGGGCCAUCCCGGCUUACCAACCCGAUGCAAACUACGAAUACCGAAGAAUGUUAUCACGGGAGACACACGGCGGGUGCUAACGUCCGUCGUGAAGAGGGAAACAACCCAGACCGCCAGCUAAGGUCCCAAAGUCAUGGUUAAGUGGGAAACGAUGUGGGAAGGCACAGACAGCCAGGAUGUUGGCUUAGAAGCAGCCAUCAUUUAAAGAAAGCGUAAUAGCUCACUGGUCGAGUCGGCCUGCGCGGAAGAUGUAACGGGGCUAAACCAUGCACCGAAGCUGCGGCAGCGACGCUUAUGCGUUGUUGGGUAGGGGAGCGUUCUGUAAGCCGUUGAAGGUGUGCUGUGAGGCAUGCUGGAGGUAUCAGAAGUGCGAAUGCUGACAUAAGUAACGAUAAAGCGGGUGAAAAGCCCGCUCGCCGGAAGACCAAGGGUUCCUGUCCAACGUUAAUCGGGGCAGGGUGAGUCGACCCCUAAGGCGAGGCCGAAAGGCGUAGUCGAUGGGAAACAGGUUAAUAUUCCUGUACUUGGUGUUACUGCGAAGGGGGGACGGAGAAGGCUAUGUCAGCCGGGCGACGGUUGUCCCGGUUUAAGCAUGUAGGCGGAGGUUCCAGGUAAAUCCGGUACCUUGUUAACGCUGAGGUGUGAUGACGAGGCACUACGGUGCUGAAGUGAUAAAUGCCCUGCUUCCAGGAAAAGCCUCUAAGCAUCAGGUAACACGAAAUCGUACCCCAAACCGACACAGGUGGUCAGGUAGAGAAUACCAAGGCGCUUGAGAGAACUCGGGUGAAGGAACUAGGCAAAAUGGUGCCGUAACUUCGGGAGAAGGCACGCUGAUGUGUAGGUGAAGCCCCUGCGGGUGGAGCUGAAAUCAGUCGAAGAUACCAGCUGGCUGCAACUGUUUAUUAAAAACACAGCACUGUGCAAACACGAAAGUGGACGUAUACGGUGUGACGCCUGCCCGGUGCCGGAAGGUUAAUUGAUGGGGUUAGCGGCAACGCGAAGCUCUUGAUCGAAGCCCCGGUAAACGGCGGCCGUAACUAUAACGGUCCUAAGGUAGCGAAAUUCCUUGUCGGGUAAGUUCCGACCUGCACGAAUGGCGUAAUGAUGGCCAGGCUGUCUCCACCCGAGACUCAGUGAAAUUGAACUCGCUGUGAAGAUGCAGUGUACCCGCGGCAAGACGGAAAGACCCCGUGAACCUUUACUAUAGCUUGACACUGAACACUGGUCCUUGAUGUGUAGGAUAGGUGGGAGGCUUUGAAGCGUGGACGCCAGUCUGCGUGGAGCC